GCAAGUCGAACGAAGUAGCAAUACUUAGUGGCAGACGGGUGAGUAACAUGUAGGUAUCUGCCCUUUGGCCUGGAAUAACACGAGGAAACUUGUGCUAAUACCGGAUAAGUCUUUACGGAGAAAGCUUUAUGCACCAUUGGAUGAGCCUGCACUUGAUUAGUUUGUUGGUAGGGUAAUGGCCUACCAAGACUGUGAUCAAUAGCUGAUUUGAGAGGAUGAUCAGCCACAUUGGGACUGAGACACGGCCCAAGCUCCUACGGGAGGCAGCAGUGGGGAAUCUUGCACAAUGGAGGAAACUCUGAUGCAGCGAUGCCGCGUGAGUGAAGAAGGCCCUUGGGUUGUAAAGCUCUUUCGUCGGGGAAGAAAAUGACUGUACCCGAAUAAGAAGGUCCGGCUAACUUCGUGCCAGCAGCCGCGGUAAUACGAAGGGACCUAGCGUAGUUCGGAAUUACUGGGCUUAAAGAGUUCGUAGGUGGUUGAAAAAGUUGGUGGUGAAAUCCCAGAGCUUAACCCUGGAACUGCCAUCAAAACUUUUCAGCUAGAGUUUGAUAGAGGAAAGCAGAAUUUCUAGUGUAGAGGUGAAAUUCGUAGAUAUUAGAAAGAAUACCAAUUGCGAAGGCAGCUUUCUGGAUCAUUACUGACACUGAGGAACGAAAGCAUGGGUAGCGAAGAGGAUUAGAUACCCUCGUAGUCCAUGCCGUAAACGAUGUGUGUUAGACGUUGGAAAUUUAUUUUCAGUGUCGCAGCGAAAGCAAUAAACACACCGCCUGGGGAGUACGACCGCAAGGUUAAAACUCAAAUGAAUUGACGGGGACCCGCACAAGUAGUGGAGCAUGUGGU
RNAcentral lists this ribosomal RNA (840 nucleotides) under uncultured marine bacterium. Its description in RNAcentral is "bacterial SSU rRNA". It matches the Rfam family "Bacterial small subunit ribosomal RNA", at positions 57 to 945 of the family's 1533-position model. The record is from RNAcentral.